Long non-coding RNA from Rhinopithecus roxellana (golden snub-nosed monkey), 415 nucleotides. RefSeq lists it as uncharacterized. Lineage: Eukaryota; Metazoa; Chordata; Mammalia; Primates; Cercopithecidae. The record is from RefSeq and is a predicted model, not a curated record. The transcript has 3 exons.
UCAUCUAGGACCAGCAAUCCAGUUUUUCAGCUCUGGCUGUUUUAGGCUUGAAGACAGGGUUUCACCAGGGAUCCUUGGCUGUCUCCUGACUCCAUCAUAAAUUCCCCCAGAAAGAAGUUCUGCAAUCACCUGCGCAGAAGUUGUAAAAGUAGCUAAGAAGAUCUGGGAGGAAAAGAGAAGAAGAGGGGAGGAGAAGAGGCAUAAGUAAAGAAGACUGUGUGAAAAUGGAGACAAGAUUGGAACGAUGUGUCUACAAGUCAAGGAACAGAAGGGAUUGGCAACCAUCACCAGAUGCUGAAGAAAGAAACUUAUCUUCAAUGUCCCUCCAUGCAAGAAAAAUAACUGGUGAUUUGCAGCACUUUGGGAGGCCGAGGCAGGCGGAUCACGAGGUCAGGAGAUCGAGAACAUCCCGGCU